UGGGAGAAUGCCUUGAGAGUUUAUCUAUUUAAACCUCCUCAGUUCACCUAUAAGAAAAUGAGGAACCAGAGAGAGAUGAAAAUGUUCCCAGUGUCCUAAGAGUAUCACACUGCAUCAUAACUGCCCGGUGGUUGGAAAUCCCGGACCCCCGGUCCACCAGCCUUGGCCUCCUGCAGAUGCUAGGCUCGGGAUGAAGUGCGGCCGAAGACUGCUGGGAAAAGAAAAGAAAGAGCCCUAAUGUGCCAUAUCGGGCAAGCCGUGGGGUGGCCCACUAACUGCUUUUUUAUGAUUGUCACUUACUGGCUCUGAUUUAGCCCCACUUAAAGAGUGGUGGCAGCAAUUGUGGAGGGCCUCAAAGGGAGACUGAUUCAAGUGAGGGCAAAGUAUUAUUGGGAACGAGGUCAAAUGGGUGAUGAAUGGGCCAUUAUGAGGAGGGGCAAACUGCCAUCGUUAGGGAUGCUGCAACAAGCUGGACGUUGAUCUAUUGUCUGUUCUGAGAUCCUCCAACAGGCCAUUAUGGCUCCCCUAAUGAGAUUGUCAUGCAUUUCUUUUUAUGUAGCUAUUAAAAUCUUGUCUACAUCU
Molecule: non-coding RNA, 582 nt
Organism: Macaca mulatta (Rhesus monkey)
Lineage: Eukaryota; Metazoa; Chordata; Mammalia; Primates; Cercopithecidae
Source: RefSeq, a predicted model, not a curated record